GACGAACGCUGGCGGCGUGCUUAACACAUGCAAGUCGAACGGAAAGGCCCUGCUUUUGUGGGGUGCUCGAGUGGCGAACGGGUGAGUAACACGUGAGUAACCUGCCCUUGACUUUGGGAUAACUUCAGGAAACUGGGGCUAAUACCGGAUAGGAGCUCCUGCUGCAUGGUGGGGGUUGGAAAGUUUCGGCGGUUGGGGAUGGACUCGCGGCUUAUCAGCUUGUUGGUGGGGUAGUGGCUUACCAAGGCUUUGACGGGUAGCCGGCCUGAGAGGGUGACCGGCCACAUUGGGACUGAGAUACGGCCCAGACUUCUACGGGAGGCAGCAGGGGGGAAUAUUGCACAAUGGGCGGAAGCCUGAUGCAGCAACGCCGCGUGCGGGAUGACGGCCUUCGGGUUGUAAACCGCUUUCGCCUGUGACGAAGCGUGAGUGACGGUAAUGGGUAAAGAAGCACCGGCUAACUACGUG
Molecule: ribosomal RNA, 468 nt
Filed under: uncultured bacterium
Lineage: Bacteria
Description: partial 16S ribosomal RNA
Rfam family: Bacterial small subunit ribosomal RNA
Source: RNAcentral